Molecule: long non-coding RNA, 1379 nt
Organism: Hyla sarda
Lineage: Eukaryota; Metazoa; Chordata; Amphibia; Anura; Hylidae
Exons: 2
Source: RefSeq, a predicted model, not a curated record
CAAUUAGAAUUUUUAAUGCAUCACUUAAUGUAUCACUUAUGAUAGAUGGAAAUGUUGUAUGACCAUGAAGGGAAUAAUGUGAUGUAGUAUUGCAGCCUCCAGGAGAGCUCUGCCUGCAGGAUGCCAUUGUCUUAUUACAGGGCUCCCACACAAAAUUAGAAGCAGGUCUAUGGUGAUGUACAUACAGUUCUUCAACUUUUUCUUUUUGGGAGAUGAGAUAAUGGAUCGGAUUUGUGGCCUUUUUGUUAUUAUUCAGCAAUGUUCAAACAAACUUUCCCCUAUAGUAAACAAGAUCCACAGUACAAACGUUCUUAAAUCUCCUCAAAUAUUCGAUUCAUCUGUGUUGUAGCAUGCAGGGUGAAAACCAGUUCUGAUACUAAAAUGAACACUAUCUAGUAAUAGGCCUCGGGGGGAGGUGUUCUAAUGUGCUGUAAACAUAGAAAUAAAUAGAUUCUGAGUACAGAUUAUAAUUCCAAAUGAGGACGGGACUGAUGUGAGUGAUGACAAUCUCUGUAUAGCGCUGCAGAACUUAAAGGGAUUGGUCCAAGAAGGCAGGAUAAAGGUGAGAUGUUUAUUAAAGAGUUGUACCCAUCCAUUGGCUACCUCUAGAAAAGCCCUUUUAAAACUUUCUGGUGGGUUUUCAGGGCAUGGACAAAAAUCUCAUCUUGUGAGCUAUGGGCCAGCUCAAACUGAGAAAUUCUGCUUAGGGAAAUUCCGUGUGUAUAUUCAGAGUCCAGCAGGUGAUGACGGCAAUGCAGUCCAUGCGUGAUUCUGCUGAAGAAAUUGAAAUUUUUUGACUGAAUCUAAUUGACGCGUCACGCAUGGGAAGCUGCUGCAAUCAAGCUCCGAGCAGAAAUUCCUGGCAGAAUUUCUCAGUCUAAACUGGCCCUUGCACCAAUGUCACUUUUAUGUAUUUCUAAAGCUUUCACAACAUUCUGGGCUUUAAAUAAAAAGAUUGUAUGAGACUAGAAAAACAUGGCUGCCUACUUCCCAAAUCAGCACCGUUGUUGCCCAUGAGCUGUGUCUGUAUUGCAGCUUAGCCAAGUUCAAGAGAGUUAAGCAGCAAAACCAGACACAGUCACAUGCUGGCACUUAAGGUUAGUGAUUUUCAUGUGCAUUUUGCAAAUACAGGCACAUAUAAGAUUAUUAUUAUAUAAGAAUAUAUAUCUCCUGCACUUGCUACCCUGAUGCCGAGCAGCUACCCUCUUUUGCCUGCACAUAUAAGAGUAUAAUGGUUGAGAUUUAUCAAAACCGGUGUAGGGGAAGAGUAGUGCAGCGGCCCAUAACAACCAAUCAGAUUGCUUUUUUUUUUUUUUUUUUAAAUACCUCUGAAAAAUAAGUAAAGCAAUCUGAUUGGUUGCUAUAGAAAACUGCACCAC